This 104-nucleotide microRNA precursor is filed under the name Marmota monax (woodchuck). Lineage: Eukaryota; Metazoa; Chordata; Mammalia; Rodentia; Sciuridae. The record is from RNAcentral.
ACUGUGGACACCUGAUGGCCUGUUAAAAUGCAGAUUCUGACUUAGUUAUUCUGGGGAGGGGCCUGAGGUUCUGCAUUUUUAAUAAGUUCCUUGGAGGUACAAAG